UGCACACGGUUGGUGCUGACCUCAAA
Molecule: non-coding RNA, 26 nt
Filed under: Homo sapiens (human)
Lineage: Eukaryota; Metazoa; Chordata; Mammalia; Primates; Hominidae
Source: RNAcentral